RNAcentral lists this small RNA (501 nucleotides) under Histoplasma capsulatum. RNAcentral's name for it is "hypothetical RNA". The record is from RNAcentral. Lineage: Eukaryota; Fungi; Ascomycota; Eurotiomycetes; Onygenales; Ajellomycetaceae. RNAcentral also lists the same sequence under 1 other name.
AUAUUCUCAUUCGGACGCCAGACCAAUAUUGAUCACCUUGGCGACAAGGCAAGGUCGAGUGCCUCUGAAACGCCAGCAGGCAUGCCACCCCAGCCGCCGGUCAUUCCUGUACCGCCUGAAAAGAACAAGAUACGUAAUUCUCAUUACCAUCCCAAUGACUGGUGCUGUAGACUGCUGGCGGGUUCUGUUCUGAAUAAAAUGAGAUUUUCUGCAAUCGCAUUGUCGUUCUCACUCUUUUAAGGGGCGCUUAAUUUUUCAUAUUUCUUUUAUUUUUUAAAGUUGAGUCCUCCAGAUGCAAUGAAGGCCAUUGAGUGUGGAGUCGUUGGGCCUUGUUCUUCUAUUGACUGCCUUUUUCGGGAGGGAGCUUUUAUAGACUUGCACGGUGACCUCUGAGUUCCAGAAUCCCCGGAACUAAACGUUCAUUCGCGUCUUUUCUGGAACUGGGAAGCAGUCUGUCCUCACAAGAAAAUCCGUUGUCAAACACGGUAGUAAUAAUCGGGC